UUCUAAAAAAGACUGAUUCUUUGUUGUGUUUGAUUACUUAAAAAAGUUGUGUAUGACUAAAGCUGAAGUGGUUUGAGAGCAGAAUUUGAAUUGCUGCUGCUUUAUUACUAUUACUUAUUGCAAACACAAGAACGGGCACGAUACAAAAAUUCCACGAUAAAUAGAAAAGCAAUCAUACACGGCCAUAUUAAUCUAUGAACAAAUAAAUUAAAGAGAUGACUAAGAGUGGACUGUACUUUUAACUUGGCAUUUACACUUUAAAUCUCUCUUCCUUGUUUUGAUUUGUCCGUCACUUGAACACAAUAAGAUCAGGACGUGCAAGAUGGCCAUCAAACAAAUAGAAUCAAGCGGGUCUGAAUCACAGAUAUUGUAGCUCGGAGAUGACACCUUCAGACUUUUAUUCAAAGAACUUGGAUAGGAAGAUAGAUAUUUCACUUCACUCCAAAUGGAGCUUGCAUUUAUUCCUCGAAGAAAACUACAACCUGAAAAUGAAUUCCAUAGAAAUUUCCAUUACUAAAGUUCAUUCAUGUAUAUAUAAUUCUGAUUUUACUUUUGAAAAUGUAUAAGGUUGGUUAACUUACAUGAUUUAUCGUGAAUGGUGCUUCCGCAGUCUGAGCUUACUUGUAGAUAGGUGGAGGUGGGGAAGCAUAGACGUAAGCUGGAGGCGGAGGUGAUUUGUAAAUGUACUUUGGAGCGGGAGCUGGGGAGGGAGGAGGUGGUGAUUUGUAAUGGUAUGGUGGAGGUGGAGAUGGAGAAGGUGGUGGAGGGCUCACGUAGUGGUAAGGAGGUGAAGGAUACGACGUUGGUGGUGGAGGGGAUUUGUAGUAGUAGGGAUGAUGAGGAGUGGGAGAUGGUGGAGGAGGACUUUUAUAGUAAUAAGGAGGUGGUGGAGAUGGGGACGGGGGUGGAGGGGAUUUGUAGUAAUAUGGAGGUGGUGGUGAUGGGGAUGGUGGUGGUGGUGAGUGGUAGUAGUAGGGAGGGUGUGUGCUCUCUUUAGGUGGAGGUGGGGAGUGAUAGUAGUAAGGUGGUGGAGGGGAUGGUGAAGGUGGUGGGGGAGAUUUAUAGUAGUAUGGAGGAGGAGGGGAUGGUGAAGGUGGGGGUGGAGAUUUAUAGUAGUACGGAGGGGGAGGAGAGGGUGAUGGUGGAGGUGGAGAUUUAUAGUAGUACGGAGGGGGAGGAGAGGGUGAUGGUGGAGGUGGAGAUUUAUAGUAGUAUGGAGGCUUAUAAACCGGUGAGGGUGGAGGUGGGGAGUGGUAGUAGUAUGGAGGGGGAGGUGAGGGGGAUGGUGGAGGGGGAGAGUGGUAGUAGUAUGGAGGGGGAGGUGAAGGGGAUGGUGGAGGUGGAGAGUGGUAGUAGUAUGGAGGUUUAGGCUUUGGUGAUGGUGGGGGUGGAGAUUGGUAGUAGUAUGGAGGCUUUGGCACCGGUGAUGGUGGAGGUGGAGAGUGGUAGUAGUAUGGAGGUGGAGGAGAGGGAGAUGGAGGAGGUGGAGAGUGGUAGUAGUAUGGAGGCUUAGGUUUUGGUGAUGGAGGGGGUGGUGAUUGGUAGUAGUAAGGAGGCUUUGGCACCGGUGAUGGUGGAGGUGGAGAGUGGUAGUAGUACGGAGGCUUAGGUUUUGGUGAUGGGGGAGGUGGAGAUUGGUAGUAGUAUGGAGGCUUUGGUACUGGUGAUGGAGGAGGUGGAGAGUGGUAGUAGUAUGGAGGUUGAGGUUUUGGUGAUGGUGGAGGUGGAGACUUAUAAUAAUAGGGAGGUGACUUGACGGGUGGUGGUGGUGACUUGUAAACAUAAGUUGGUGAUGGUGGUGGUGGUGAUUUGUAUACGUAAACUGGAGAGGGAGGAGGAGGUGAGUUGUAAUAGUAUGGUGUUGGUGAAGGCUUAUAAGGCUUCUUGUCACAGUCCUUGAAGUGCUUCUUUGAAGCAUAAGCAAAUGGCUUAGCCUUGAGCACAACUUCAUAUUUAUCUUUUGAUUUCACCUUCAAUGGAGUUCCCUCGUUCAGCUUGGUAGGUAUGUUGAAGGGAGAGUCCUUAGGUGGAGCAUGAAGGUGGGCCUUGCAGACUACUGAUCCAUAUUUCACAUAGUCAAAGUCCUUAACUGUGAUACUGUAUUUUCCAUUGCUCUUAGUUUCACCAUAAGCCUUUAUGAUGUUUCUUCCUGCUUUGCAUUUAACCUCCACAAUAGCACCUACAUUUACCCAAAAUGCUUCAUUA
This 2205-nucleotide long non-coding RNA is filed under the name Vigna radiata. Its description in RNAcentral is "long non-coding RNA (VRAD_LNC009420)". Lineage: Eukaryota; Viridiplantae; Streptophyta; Magnoliopsida; Fabales; Fabaceae. The record is from RNAcentral.